CAGCCGCCACGGUAAUACGAAGGGUGCAAGCGUUAAUCGGAAUUACUGGGCGUAAGGGGUGCGUAGGCGGUUGUUUAAGUCUGUUGUGAAAUCCCCGGGCUCAACCUGGGAAUGGCAAUGGAAACUGGACGGCUAGAGUGUGUCAGAGGAUGGUGGGAUUCCCGGUGUAGCGGUGAAAUGCGUAGAGAUCGGGAGGAACAUCAGUGGCGAAGGCGGCCCCCUGGACAAAGACUGACGCUCAGGUGCGAAAGCGUGGGGAGCAAACAGGAUUAGAUACCCCCGUAGUCCCUGUCUCUUAUAA
RNAcentral lists this ribosomal RNA (301 nucleotides) under uncultured bacterium. Its description in RNAcentral is "partial 16S ribosomal RNA". It matches the Rfam family "Bacterial small subunit ribosomal RNA", at positions 509 to 809 of the family's 1533-position model. The record is from RNAcentral.